Long non-coding RNA from Esox lucius (northern pike), 694 nucleotides. Lineage: Eukaryota; Metazoa; Chordata; Actinopteri; Esociformes; Esocidae. The record is from Ensembl.
UCGGAAGGAGGGUAUGUCUGCAGAUCGCAAGUCCGGGGCCUAACUUAAUAUUAAGUUACGCCCAUUGACGGUUUCCAUUAGUGUGGUGUUUUUGAUUAAGUGUAUGCGUUUAUGGAGGAAUAAUUACAGGGUCAAUGAUGAAGAUUUCGUGAUGAAGUAAAAGAGUGGACAGGAUAUUGCAUCAUCAAGAGGACCCCAACUGACCUUAACUGAUGAGUGAAAGAUGCCACUAUCAAGCAAAGAAAAUGCUGCACGCUACAGGAAGCACAUUAAAAAUGAUACAGCUGCAACAGAAAGAUAUAUUGCAAAAAGGAAAGAAAGGUAAUACAUCUUAUUAAGCCACAGUUUUUGUGUAGUUGAUAAUUUUGUACAGCAAUAAGUCAGACUUUCCAGAUUUUCAAAUUUGAAUAUGCCAGUUAACCCUUAGUGUUUAUGUUUUUAUAGUUAUCAAGUUAACUAAAAAUAAGAAAUUACAUUGAAAACACACCGGGCGCAUAGAGCCCACGUAGCGUAGAUAAGUGCCUAAUCCCACGCCUGGCCAUUCAUACCGGACACAUUUCCACGUGCCGGUCACAAAAAGAUAGCUGUAAUAGAUUUCAGAAUGUCUUGUUAUGAAAAGCUUUAUUGUUGUUUGUUGUUAUGAUUAUCCAUGUUUAUCUUGUGUAAGUUAUAUUUUGCAAUCCUGUUACUAUUU